Molecule: non-coding RNA, 74 nt
Organism: Ataeniobius toweri
Lineage: Eukaryota; Metazoa; Chordata; Actinopteri; Cyprinodontiformes; Goodeidae
Source: the annotation of a GenBank genome assembly
GCUCGGUGGCGCAGCUGGUAGCACUAUAGCCUUGCAGCAAGAAGGUCCUUGGUUCAACUCCUGGCUGGGGGUCU